CUUCUGGGGUGAACAUGGACCCACUGUCUUCCGUCAAGGUCUAGGAUGGACAUGGACCCACCAUCAUCUGGGAGGUCCUGGAGUGGACGUGGACCCACCAUCAUCAGUGUCCCUUGGGAAGGAGAGGACCCAGCAGCAUUCAUUACCACCCGAUGCUUGCUAAUGGUGUGACCUUGAAUGAGUCAGCCUGUCGCCUGUCUGUGCCUCCGUUUGUCUGUCUGAGAGUGUUAAUGGCUGCUUAUAAGGUGCACACGGUAUGAGUGAUGCUGAAUGAAUGGCAGUUGGACAUGUUUUCUCUGUUGAACCCUCUUUGAGGCCUCUCGGAAGCCAGAGAGAAUAGAGGACGGUCCAGGAGCCUUGU
Molecule: long non-coding RNA, 361 nt
Filed under: Mus pahari (shrew mouse)
Lineage: Eukaryota; Metazoa; Chordata; Mammalia; Rodentia; Muridae
Description: lncRNA (MGP_PahariEiJ_G0006363.1)
Source: RNAcentral